GGCGGGUGGAGGCACUGAGGGGCACAGAGGGACCGAGGAAUGACGAGGUGCUGUCUGGUCUGUUCUGUCCUGCUGCGGCGGAUGCCAAGGACGAGAUGACUUCUACCAUCAGAUUCCUUUGGUUCACGGUUCUGGAGGCUGGAGGUCCCAGAUGAAGGAAGACUCAGCUCGAGGGAGGCCUCCUUGCCGCGUCCUACCAUGGAGGAAGUCGUCACAAGGCAAACGAGAGCUGAACUCUGCUUCAUAACAAGCCAAACAUCUGUCCGUUCGUGGCAGAAGAGCCUUCAUCACGACCUGCCCGGUCACCUCGUGAAGGGCCCGCUCUCAACACCGUGGCAUUUUGCAGACUGAGUUUCUGACACAUGAACUUUGGGACACACCUUCCAGCCACGUUCCUGGCAGAGGUUGGGUGUCUGCGGAUCUGCCUGAUUUCAGGGUGUGCGUAUGUGUCGGACUGAGAGCGGUGCAUACAGAGCCCUGCAAACGCGACAACUUCCCAUUCAUCUCCCCCUUGCCUGGGAGGCCAAGGUCCCCGGAAAGACAAAGAGACACAGGCAAGGCAGGGAAGGCCCUGCCCAGGAACGGGGAGAGCCCAGCUGCUCGGCGUAAAUGUCCCACCCGCCACAUAUGGGGAACAUGUGGCCCCGCCCUGCUGGCGCCGGAGAGACGUCAUGCCGGGGAGGCUGGCAGCCGAGGACACAGAGCGUUCCCGGGAGGAACUGGC
RNAcentral lists this long non-coding RNA (724 nucleotides) under Fukomys damarensis (Damara mole-rat). RNAcentral's name for it is "lncRNA (ENSFDAG00000032773.1)". The record is from RNAcentral. Lineage: Eukaryota; Metazoa; Chordata; Mammalia; Rodentia; Bathyergidae.